CCACUACCUCUACACACACAACCACCCCAUAGACUACUUCAUACUGCUACUACAGGUCAGUGUGUGUGUGACCACUACCUCUACACACACAACCACCCCAUAGACUACUUCAUACUGCUACUACAGGUCAGUGUGUGUGUGUGACCACUACCUCUACACACACAACCACCCCAUAGACUACUUCAUACUGCUACUACAGGUCAGUGUGUGUGACCACUACCUCUACACACACAACCACCCCGUAGACUACUUCAUACUGUUACUACAGGUCAGUGUGUGUGACCACUACCUCUACACACACAACCACCCCAUAGACUACUUCAUACUGCUACUACAGGUCAGUGUGUGUGUGACCACUACCUCUACACACACAACCACCCCGUAGACUACUUCAUACUGUUACUACAGGUCAGUGUGUGUGACCACUACCUCUACACACACAACCACCCCAUAGACUACUUCAUACUGCUACUACAGGUCAGUGUGUGUGACCACUACCUCUACACACACAACCACCCCAUAGACUACUUCAUACUGCUACUACAGGUCAGUGUGUGUGACCACUACC
Molecule: long non-coding RNA, 568 nt
Organism: Oncorhynchus keta (chum salmon)
Lineage: Eukaryota; Metazoa; Chordata; Actinopteri; Salmoniformes; Salmonidae
Exons: 3
Source: RefSeq, a predicted model, not a curated record